Molecule: long non-coding RNA, 288 nt
Filed under: Phasianus colchicus (ring-necked pheasant)
Lineage: Eukaryota; Metazoa; Chordata; Aves; Galliformes; Phasianidae
Description: lncRNA (ENSPCLG00000007546.1)
Source: RNAcentral
CUUUCUGAGGUGUAAUCCUUAUAACAAGAUGGCAGGUUACCUCCCCAUCUCCAAAAUAUUGUGAAGUUUCUGUGACUAUAGUCUCAGGGUGAACUAUAUGGAAUAAUUAUUAUACAUGACUUGCUGAGAUGCUCUUUGCCUAAGAGAAGGUACAGAAUUCAGAAGUGCCUUGCCCUGGCUGCAGACUUGUGAAAGAGCUCAGUUCCUUGUCUUAGACCCACUGCUGAACCUUUAAAUAUCCAAAGUGUUUAAUCUGUGGAAGUAAUUGUAACCAAUGAAGACAACACC